This 463-nucleotide ribosomal RNA is filed under the name uncultured bacterium. Its description in RNAcentral is "partial 16S ribosomal RNA". It matches the Rfam family "Bacterial small subunit ribosomal RNA", at positions 28 to 507 of the family's 1533-position model. The record is from RNAcentral.
GAUGAACGCUGACAGAAUGCUUAACACAUGCAAGUCGAUGGGGAAGUGGUGCUUGCACCAUGGCAACCAUGGCGGACGGGUGAGUAACGCGUAAGGGACUUACCUGCAGGACUGGGAUAACAGGGGGAAACUCCUGACAAGACCGGAUAAUGUCAUGGAGCCGCAUGGCUUUAUGAUGAAAGGAGACGCCUGCGGAGAGCCUUGCGUCCUAUUAGCUAGUUGGUGAGGUAAUGGCUCACCAAGGCGAAGAUAGGUAGCCGGCCUGAGAGGGUGGACGGCCACAAGGGGACUGAGAUACGGCCCUUACUCCUACGGGAGGCAGCAGUGGGGAAUAUUGGACAAUGGGGGCAACCCUGAUCCAGCAAUUCUGUGUGCACGAAGAAGGUUUUCGGGUUGUAAAGUGCUUUCAGCAGGGAAGAAGUAAGUGACGGUACCUGCAGAAGAAGCGACGGCUAAAUACGUG